Molecule: unclassified non-coding RNA, 373 nt
Filed under: Hevea brasiliensis (rubber tree)
Lineage: Eukaryota; Viridiplantae; Streptophyta; Magnoliopsida; Malpighiales; Euphorbiaceae
Source: RNAcentral
AUAAGAUGGCAAUCAUCUCUGGAAGCAUGUUAUAGAUUAUUAUAUGCGUGUGUGUGUGUUUUAUAUACGGUCAAACAAAGGAAAAGGAGCAAAAACAAGAAGUAAUUAUUCUGAGUCAUACUGCUGCAAUGCUCUAAUUUACCAUGGCUACAUUUUUCAUUAAAUGAAAACAAGUAUAUCUCAUUCAGGUACACUGCUGUGGUGUUCCUGUUUAUUGCAAAUCAGGUUUCCCUUAUGUUUUUCAUUUGUUUCCUCAACCUUGAUAUGCCGCAUUUUGAAUACUUCUCAAGUUUCUGUUUCUUUUGUGGUAUACAUAAUGAUACCUAACUUCAUCAUAAAACCUUGACAGGCGAGUUUUUGUUGGAGAUGUUGU